GACGAACGCUGGCGGCGUGCCUAACACAUGCAAGUCAACUUGACUGAAGGAGCAAUCUGACAGUAGAGUGGCGCAAGGGUGCGUAACGCGUAAGUAACUUGCCCAAGGUAAGGAAUAACGUCGAGAAAUCGGCGCUAAUACCUCAUAAUGCAGCGGAUCCGCAUGGAUAUGUUGUUAAAGGUUUACCGCCUUGGGAUAGGCUUGCGUCUGAUUAGCUAGUUGGUGUGGUAACGGCACACCAAGGCUACGAUCAGUAACUGGUCUGAGAGGAUGAUCAGUCACACUGGAACUGAGACACGGUCCAGACUCCUACGGGAGGCAGCAGUGAGGAAUAUUGGGCAAUGCUCGAAAGAGUGACCCAGCAACGCCGCGUGGAGGAUGAAGGUAUUCUAUAUCGUAAACUCCUGUGAGAGCAGACGAAGACAGAUUAUUAAUCUGGAUGACUGUAUGCUCAGAGGAAGCCCCGG
Molecule: ribosomal RNA, 467 nt
Filed under: uncultured bacterium
Lineage: Bacteria
Description: bacterial SSU rRNA
Rfam family: Bacterial small subunit ribosomal RNA
Source: RNAcentral